UUAUGAGGAGUUAGUGGCA
RNAcentral lists this unclassified non-coding RNA (19 nucleotides) under Mus musculus (house mouse). RNAcentral's name for it is "oocyte_clustered_small_RNA1040". The record is from RNAcentral. Lineage: Eukaryota; Metazoa; Chordata; Mammalia; Rodentia; Muridae.